UGGGGGAUAUUGCACAAUGGGCGAAAGCCUGAUGCAGCGACGCCGCGUGGGGGAUGAAGGCCUUCGGGUUGUAAACUUCUUUUGCUCUGAACAAGGCAUGCUAAUGGGUGUGUUGAGUGUAGGGGUUGAUUAGCGCCGGCUAACUACGUGCCAGCAGCCGCGGUAAUACGUAGGGCGCGAGCGUUGUCCGGAAUUAUUGGGCGUAAAGGGCUUGUAGGUGGCUGGUUGCGUCUGUCGUGAAAGCUCAUGGCUUAACUGUGGGUUUGCGGUGGGUACGGGCUGGCUUGAGUGCAGUAGGGGAGGCUGGAAUUCCUGGUGUAGCGGUGGAAUGCGCAGAUAUCAGGAGGAAUACCGGUGGCGAAGGCGGGUCUCUGGGCUGUUACUGACACUGAGUAGCGAAAGCAUGGGGAGCGAACAGG
Molecule: ribosomal RNA, 419 nt
Filed under: bacterium
Lineage: Bacteria
Description: partial 16S ribosomal RNA
Rfam family: Bacterial small subunit ribosomal RNA
Source: RNAcentral